GACGUAGGAUGCGAGCGUUAUUCGGAUUUAUUGGGCGUAAAGCGUGCGUAGGCGGCUGCUUAAGUCUGGUGUUAAAGCUAGGGGCUCAACCCCUGUGAUGCACUGGAUACUGGGGCAGCUUGAGUGCGGUAGGGGAAGGUGGAAUUCCGAGUGUAGCGGUGAAAUGCGUAGAUAUUGAAGAUACCGGUGGCGAAGGCGACCUUCUGGGGCCCGCAACUGACGCUGAGGCACGAAAGCCUGGGGGAGCGAAACGGG
RNAcentral lists this ribosomal RNA (255 nucleotides) under uncultured bacterium. RNAcentral describes it as "partial 16S ribosomal RNA". It matches the Rfam family "Bacterial small subunit ribosomal RNA", at positions 524 to 777 of the family's 1533-position model. The record is from RNAcentral.